UUGUACGCACAUUUUUCCACAUGUAUUUAUAAUAAUUAUUUUUUAGUAAUAUAUGUUGCCAAUGCUAUGUAUCACUAAUUCAGUCCAACUAAACCGACAAAUGCUACGGGCAGAAGUCCCAUCAGCAUCACAAAUCAGAAGAACAUACCCCCCUAAGUCUGAACAACUAGUCCUCGCUUGCGACUACCCAGAUGAUACAAUAAAACCCAUGCGAUUUAGUAUGAUAACAAAGUGCUGGUUUGACCGCCAACUCAAAAGAGCAAUUAAUUUGUACACUAUCUGACACGCAAGUGAAAGACCACUAACAGAUGCUCUAUCUAACAGUACCUCGGUGAUGACACACUCUGGAGCCAAGUUCCUCAAAUGCACAAACAGUAGUGUAUGGAAAUCUGAGUUCAAAUGCUACAGGAGUAACCAGUUUUUUC
Molecule: long non-coding RNA, 425 nt
Filed under: Hordeum vulgare
Lineage: Eukaryota; Viridiplantae; Streptophyta; Magnoliopsida; Poales; Poaceae
Description: long non-coding RNA (HVUL_LNC012845)
Source: RNAcentral